Molecule: long non-coding RNA, 848 nt
Organism: Gadus morhua (Atlantic cod)
Lineage: Eukaryota; Metazoa; Chordata; Actinopteri; Gadiformes; Gadidae
Exons: 2
Source: RefSeq, a predicted model, not a curated record
GAGCACGGGUAGUACGCAUUGAUCCUCAAUUUCCGCUUCAAGGUGACCGCGAUGCACACGAUGAGGAGCAUAAGGAGGGCGACCGAGGCUCCAGCGACGAUAUAGAUCAGGUUCCUGUGGAGGAAUUCAACGACCUGAUCCAGAGCGGUAGCCGCCCCAUCCGUCAAGUCACCGGUGGACGUAGUUUGGUAGUCGAGGAGCGUGCUGCUUCUGGUGGUCAGCUGUGUAGGACCCGGGGCCAAGGCGCCGGUCUCUUCUUCUGUGGCGCUCCCCUCCGCUAGGAUCUGUAGAGGGAAUGGUGAGGCCAAACUGCUGCCGGACCACAGCGCUAAAGACAGGCCGAUCCCGUGUGGAGCCAUCGGAUGCAUCAUCAGGCUCUGUAAACAAGAAGAUAACCUAUAGGAUCUUCAGCGAUGCAACAUCUGGUCAUCAGAACCCCUCCCACCACUGUAGUCACCACUAUAGACUUUGAACCCUCAGUCAUCAUCGGCCCUUUUGGACUCCAUCUGUCUGCAAGCUGCUUCCUGAGGUGCAACUCAACACUCAUCAGGCCGGCUGGACUGGACCAACUCAUGCAAAGCAUCCUGCGCCUACAAAAGUUCCCCAUUCACACCGGGCCUUGCUGAACCCCUCCCCUACGCAGAGAAACCACACUCACACACACGCAGGCAUUACAAAACAGAGAUGAGCAGGUCUGCACCACAGUGAUGGUGCAGUGUAAAAUAAUUUAAUCAUUGUCCCACAUUUAUUUUGGUUAUUGCCACAUCAAAUCAUAUUAGCGGGUUGUAAAUUAAUAAAGUAACAAAAAUACCCUUUAAAAAUAAAAACAAGAAGAAAAAGUAAACACA